CACCUACGGGGGGCAGCAGUGGGGAAUAUUGCACAAUGGGGGAAACCCUGAUGCAGCGACGCCGCGUGAGUGAAGAAGUAAUUCGUUACGUAAAGCUCUAUCAGCAGGGAAGAGAAUGACGGUACCUGAGUAAGAAGCCCCGGCUAACUACGUGCCAGCAGCCGCGGUAAUACGUAGGGGGCAAGCGUUAUCCGGAUUUACUGGGUGUACAGGGAGCGUAGACGGCAGAGAAAGUUUGAAGUGAAAGCCCGCGGCUCAACCGCGGAACUGCUUUUGAAACUUUUCUUCUAGAUCACCG
This 298-nucleotide ribosomal RNA is filed under the name uncultured bacterium. RNAcentral describes it as "partial 16S ribosomal RNA". It matches the Rfam family "Bacterial small subunit ribosomal RNA", at positions 335 to 651 of the family's 1533-position model. The record is from RNAcentral.